AUUGAACGCUGGCGGCAUGCUUUACACAUGCAAGUCGAACGGCAGCAUAGAGAGCUUGCUCUCUGAUGGCGAGUGGCGAACGGGUGAGUAAUGCAUCGGAACGUGUCCGUUUGUGGGGGACAACUAUCCGAAAGGAUAGCUAAUACCGCAUGAGACCUGAGGGUGAAAGCCGGGGGACCGCAAGGCCUGGCGCAAACGGAGCGGCCGAUGUCUGAUUAGCUAGUUGGGGAGGUAACGGCUCACCAAGGCGACGAUCAGUAGCUGGUCUGAGAGGACGACCAGCCACACUGGAACUGAGACACGGUCCAGACUCCUACGGGAGGCAGCAGUGGGGAAUUUUGGACAAUGGGGGCAACCCUGAUCCAGCAAUGCCGCGUGCGGGAAGAAGGCCUUCGGGUUGUAAACCGCUUUGUCAGGGACGAAGGACGUGACGGUACCUGGAGAAAAAGCAACGGCUAACUACGUG
Molecule: ribosomal RNA, 466 nt
Filed under: uncultured bacterium
Lineage: Bacteria
Description: bacterial SSU rRNA
Rfam family: Bacterial small subunit ribosomal RNA
Source: RNAcentral